GGAGAAAUGUUGGUGAUCAUCAUGGAUAACUUAGGAGGGGGAGGAGGAAAUUUAUAGAGGAUUUUCUAGGAUUUUUGAUGGUCCUGGGAUAUCUAUUUUGAGUCAGAUUCAAUAGGGAAGAAGACUCCGUUCUUCUAUUUUCUUUUUUUUAUUAUUCUUUUAGGUUGCAUUAGGUUCAUGCUGAUGGUCUUUAGGAUUAGAUUAUCACAUAUUCUAUUUGUGAUCUUAUUUAAUUUUAUAUAGUAUUUUUGAUUUUUUUAAAAAAAUAUAACCAUGUUAACACACUAUUAAUUUGAUUUACCUUCUACUUAGUAAUAUCU
RNAcentral lists this long non-coding RNA (320 nucleotides) under Elaeis guineensis (African oil palm). Its description in RNAcentral is "long non-coding RNA (EGUI_LNC008390)". Lineage: Eukaryota; Viridiplantae; Streptophyta; Magnoliopsida; Arecales; Arecaceae. The record is from RNAcentral.